CCCUUAGAUGUUCUGGGCCGCACGCGCGUUACACUGAUGCAUUCAACGAGUCUAAAACCUGGUCUGAUAGGGCUGGGUAAUCUUUUGAAUGUGCAUCGUGAUUGGGAUAGAUGAUUGCAAUUCUUCAUCUUCAACGAGGAAUGCCUAGUAAACGCAAGUCAUCAGCUUGCAUUGAUUACGUCCCUGCCCUUUGUACACACCGCCCGUCGCUCCUACCGAUUGAAUGUUCCGAUGAAUACCAUGGACUGAGAGUAUGAAUGGGUUCGCCUAUUUCUGCUUCUCGGGAAGUGGAGUAAAUCUUAACAUUUAGAGGAAGGAGAAGUCGUAACA
Molecule: ribosomal RNA, 330 nt
Filed under: uncultured eukaryote
Lineage: Eukaryota
Description: partial 18S ribosomal RNA
Rfam family: Eukaryotic small subunit ribosomal RNA
Source: RNAcentral